GCCCUUCCUGGGAGAACAGCCCCGGGAUGAAUGGGUGAAGGAAUUGGAGCACCGGGUAUGGCAGGAGAUUUGGCUGGAAGAUGCCUACCAGGCGCUCUGGUGGUAUGGGUCACAGUACCUACCCUGGACAGCCGAGCAUGACAAGCCAGAGGGAGAGGAGUUUGAUGGUCCUGGCUUGUUAUGGGAGUCAUUUUCAGAGCUCGAAUUUGGGAGCCCUACACAAGCCCGGUUCAGUGAUCUCUUGGAGUGGAG
This 252-nucleotide long non-coding RNA is filed under the name Pelobates cultripes (western spadefoot toad). Lineage: Eukaryota; Metazoa; Chordata; Amphibia; Anura; Pelobatidae. The record is from RNAcentral.